GAGACGAAACAGUGAUGUGGAGUAAAACUUAAUAAAAGCGACCUCAGUUCGGAUUGAAGGCUGAAAUUCGCCUUCAUGAAGUCGGAAUUGCUAGUAAUGGCAGGUCAGCAUACUGCCGUGAAUACGUUCCCGGGCCUUGUACACACCGCCCGUCACACCAUGAGAGUUGGAGAUACCCGAAGCCUAUGAGCUAACUUUUAGAGGCAGUAGUCGAAGGUAGAAUCAAUGAUUGGGGUGAAGUCGUAACAAGGUAAC
RNAcentral lists this ribosomal RNA (255 nucleotides) under uncultured bacterium. Its description in RNAcentral is "partial 16S ribosomal RNA". It matches the Rfam family "Bacterial small subunit ribosomal RNA", at positions 1246 to 1500 of the family's 1533-position model. The record is from RNAcentral.